UAUCUUUCUGUAAAAUCACAUCUUAAAAAAAAGAAAGGGAUAAAGGACCAAGAAAAGAUGAAGGAGAGGAUAUGAAGAAGUAGAGUAGCACUUCAUAUACCCCAUCUUCAAGCCUUACAGACAGCUUGCAAGGCUAUACAUACCAUAAAGACAGAGACUAGAUCAAUAUUUCUCACCACUGUCUCCCAGUAUCUACGAGAGUACUGGGCACUUGGUUGAUGCUCAGUAAAUAUUUGCAAGAUUAAUGAAUGGAUGAAUGAAUGUAGUCCUCUACAAUAUUCAUUUCUUUUGUGAAAAUCUCAUGUCAUGCUGAGCACAAGACCACUACAAAUAAAGACUGCAUUUCCCAACCUCCCCUGAAGCUAGGUAUGCACAUGUGACUAAGUUCUAUCAACAGGAUAUCAACAGAAGUGUCAUAUCAGCAACUUCCACAAACUUUCCUUUGGAGAGAGCUGGUCCAUAUGGUUAGCUCCCUUGUCUCUCCCUCCUUUCUUCUUCCUGAAACAAAGAUGCUGCCAUCUUGAAGCUAAGGACAACCACACUCUUAGGAUGGAGGAGCAGUGAGAUUGAAGGAGCCUGCAGCCCCAAGGACUUUUAGAGCAAGAGUCAUUAUCAGCCUGUCCUGCCUACCUUCCAACUUUUAUAUGAGAAACAACACACUUCUAUCUAGGUGAAACCACUAUUAUUUUUGGAGGUUUUCUGUUACUGCUGAGCCUAAGGUUCAUUGAUACAGAAAAGACAACAUAUUCAGAGGAAAUAGGAAAUAGUACUCAACUUUAAGAAAUAUCAUAAACUUGAGAAGGAUAUGAGUAGUAUACUUUUUACAAAGCAGAAAAUUAUGAGUUUCACAAGAGAGAUUGAACAAAAUAUCAUUGAAGAUGGAAAAAAUAAAAGGGAAACAAAUCACUUCUGAUAGAAGAACAUAAGAGAAGGAAUCAUCGUUCAGGUGAUAUUUGAGACAGGUCUUCAAAGAAGAAUAGAAUUGUGACAGAUGAAAGUGAGGAGGCAUUGAAAUAGGAGAUGAAAGGCAAGCUAGGCAGAAGGAACAGCAUUACAAAGACAUGGAAGUGGAAAAGCAUGAAUUGUGUUCUGGGAAUGUUAGAUGAUUGAGUUUAAUAGGAGCACAGGUUGUAGACAGUGAUUGUUACUGACACCCAGUGGACCUAUUUGUUUAUCCUGCUGCAUUUUAUUUCAUGACCUUUGUCACUAGCUGACAGUAUAUUAUUAUAUUGACUUUAUAUUGUCUGUUUAUUUUCUAGAAUUACUAAAAUAAAAGUUCUCAAACUUUUUGGUCAUUAUCAAAAAUUAGUAAAAGCCCCAAAGAGCUUUUGUUUAUGUGAGUUAUAUCUAUAAAUACUUACUGUACCAGACAGUUAAAUUGAGAAAAUUUUAAAUAGCUA
RNAcentral lists this long non-coding RNA (1400 nucleotides) under Homo sapiens (human). RNAcentral's name for it is "HSALNT0009268". The record is from RNAcentral. Lineage: Eukaryota; Metazoa; Chordata; Mammalia; Primates; Hominidae.